CCUACGGGAGACAGCAGUGAGGAAUAUUGGUCAAUGGCCGGAAGGCUGAACCAGCCAUGCCGCGUGAAGGUCAGUGCCCUAUGGGCGUUAAACUUCUUUUGUGCGGGAGCAAUAAUGGUCACGUGUGGCCAGACGAGAGUACCGUACGAAUAAGCAUCGGCUAACUCCGUGCCAGCAGCCGCGGUAAUGCGGGGGAUGCAAGCGUUAUCCGGAUUCAUUGGGGUUAAGGGGUGCGUAGGCGGAAUGCCAAGUCAGCGGUAAAAUCGCGGGGCUCAACCUCGCUCCGCCGUUGAAACUGGCGUUCUUGAGUGGGCGAGAGGUAUGCGGAAUGCGAGGUGUAGCGGUGAAAUGCAUAGAUAUCACACAGAACACCAAUUGCGAAGGCGUCUCACGAAUCCGCGAUUGACGCUGAUGCACGAAAGCGUGGGUAGCAAACAGGAUUAGAUACCCUAGUAGUC
This 458-nucleotide ribosomal RNA is filed under the name uncultured bacterium. RNAcentral describes it as "partial 16S ribosomal RNA". It matches the Rfam family "Bacterial small subunit ribosomal RNA", at positions 338 to 795 of the family's 1533-position model. The record is from RNAcentral.